UUGAACGCUGGCGGCCGGCCUAACACAUGCAAGUCGAGCGGAUGAAGGGAGCUUGCUCCUGGAUUCAGCGGCGGACGGGUGAGUAAUGCCUAGGAAUCUGCCUGGUAGUGGGGGAUAACGUCCGGAAACGGGCGCUAAUACCGCAUACGUCCUGAGGGAGAAAGUGGGGGAUCUUCGGACCUCACGCUAUCAGAUGAGCCUAGGUCGGAUUAGCUAGUUGGUGGGGUAAAGGCCUACCAAGGCGACGAUCCGUAACUGGUCUGAGAGGAUGAUCAGUCACACUGGAACUGAGACACGGUCCAGACUCCUACGGGAGGCAGCAGUGGGGAAUAUUGGACAAUGGGCGAAAGCCUGAUCCAGCCAUGCCGCGUGUGUGAAGAAGGUCUUCGGAUUGUAAAGCACUUUAAGUUGGGAGGAAGGGCAGUAAGUUAAUACCUUGCUGUUUUGACGUUACCAACAGAAUAAGCACCGGCUAACUUCGUG
RNAcentral lists this ribosomal RNA (483 nucleotides) under uncultured bacterium. RNAcentral describes it as "partial 16S ribosomal RNA". It matches the Rfam family "Bacterial small subunit ribosomal RNA", at positions 30 to 507 of the family's 1533-position model. The record is from RNAcentral.